Molecule: ribosomal RNA, 443 nt
Filed under: uncultured bacterium
Lineage: Bacteria
Description: partial 16S ribosomal RNA
Rfam family: Bacterial small subunit ribosomal RNA
Source: RNAcentral
CCUACGGGUGGCAGCAGUGGGGAAUAUUGGGCAAUGGAGGAAACUCUGACCCAGCAACGCCGCGUGAAUGAUUAAGGUCCUCGGAUUGUAAAGUUCUUUUCUAAGGGGAGAAGAAAGUGACGGUACCUUAGGAAUAAGCCUCGGCUAACUACGUGCCAGCAGCCGCGGUAAUACGUAGGAGGCGAGCGUUAUCCGGAAGGACUGGGCGUAAAGGGUGCGUAGGUGGUUUGGCAAGUUAGUAGCGUAACUCCAAGGCGCAACCUUGGAACGACUACUAAAACUGUUGGACUUGAGUGCAGGAGGGGGAACCGGAAUUCCUGGUGUAGCGGUGGAAUGCGUAGAUAUUAGGAGGAACACCAGUGGCGAAGGCGGGUUGCUGGACUGUAACUGACACUGAGGCACGAAAGCGUGGGGAGCAAACAGGAUUAGAUACCCGAGUAGUC